GACGAACGCUGGCGGCGUGCCUAAUACAUGCAAGUUGAGCGCUGAAGGUUGGUACUUGUACCAACUGGAUGAGCAGCGAACGGGUGAGUAACGCGUGGGGAAUCUGCCUUUGAGCGGGGGACAACAUUUGGAAACGAAUGCUAAUACCGCAUAAAAACUUUAAACACAAGUUUUAAGUUUGAAAGAUGCAAUUGCAUCACUCAAAGAUGAUCCCGCGUUGUAUUAGCUAGUUGGUGAGGUAAAGGCUCACCAAGGCGAUGAUACAUAGCCGACCUGAGAGGGUGAUCAGCCACAUUGGGACUGAGACACGGCCCAAACUCCUACGGGAGGCAGCAGUAGGGAAUCUUCGGCAAUGGACGAAAGUCUGACCGAGCAACGCCGCGUGAGUGAAGAAGGGUUUCGGAUCGUAAAACUCUGUUGGUAGAGAAGAACGUUGGUGAGAGUGGAAUGCUCAUCAAGUGACGGUAACUACCCAGAAAGGGACGGCUAACUACGUG
Molecule: ribosomal RNA, 497 nt
Filed under: uncultured bacterium
Lineage: Bacteria
Description: partial 16S ribosomal RNA
Rfam family: Bacterial small subunit ribosomal RNA
Source: RNAcentral